UCUGAAAUUUUUUUUUUUUUAAAAAAAAUCUGACCCCAGGCUAUGCCAGAUCCGCCACAAAUACAGGAGAUCCACUGUUCACACGGACAGAGUCUCCCCUGUAUUUGCACGGCGUCGCACAAGUACAAGAGUUCAAACAUGAUACAACCACAACCAGAUGAACAUACAAAUAACCACAGUUAUAUAUUCAUACACCAUUCACCACAGGUUCAUAUUUUUACAUUCAAUAUUUAAACAUAAAUCCACAUCUAUCAGUUAAAAUGUUUCUAACCACAGAAACAAGUUUUGAAAUACUAAGAUACAAAAUCACAGAAAAUCCUGUGAAAACUGUUCCCUACACGGAAACUUUUAUCUUUUUAAAACGCUACCACGAGGGGUAGAAAACUAUUUUUAAUUCAAAAAAACACAAAUCCGUUAUUACAUUCCAAAACCAACAGAAAACUCAGAUAUUCAGAUAAUAACACAAACCUGAACCAUGUAAACCGACUAAGCUAUAAAUCAACAGAAAUAAUAAGGAUAAUAACUAAAUCGAAAUAACCUGGGUCGGAAGCUCUAUCGACCGCUACACACGUACCUCACGUCUCGUCCCACUAUUCACCUGUUACGCCCCGGGACCCAGCGGAAGCCCGCCC
This 632-nucleotide long non-coding RNA is filed under the name Ananas comosus (pineapple). Its description in RNAcentral is "long non-coding RNA (ACOM_LNC042255)". Lineage: Eukaryota; Viridiplantae; Streptophyta; Magnoliopsida; Poales; Bromeliaceae. The record is from RNAcentral.